GACGAACGCUGGCGGCGUGCUUAACACAUGCAAGUCGAACGGAAAGGCCCUGCUUUUGUGGGGUGCUCGAGUGGCGAACGGGUGAGUAACACGUGAGUAACCUGCCCUUGACUUUGGGAUAACUUCAGGAAACUGGGGCUAAUACCGGAUAGGAGCUCCUGCUGCAUGGUGGGGUUGGAAAGUUUCGGCGGUUGGGGAUGGACUCGCGGCUUAUCAGCUUGUUGGUGGGGUAGUGGCUUACCAAGGCUUUGACGGGUAGCCGGCCUGAGAGGGUGACCGGCCACAUUGGGACUGAGAUACGGCCCAGACUCCUACGGGAGGCAACAGUGGGGAAUAUUGCACAAUGGGCGGAAGCCUGAUGCAGCAACGCCGCGUGCGGGAUGACGGCCUUCGGGUUGUAAACCGCUUUCGCCUGUGACGAAGCGUGAGUGACGGUAAUGGGUAAAGAAGCACCGGCUAACUACGUGCCAGCAGCCGCGGUGAUACGUAGGGUGCGAGCGUUGUCCGGAUUUAUUGGGCGUAAAGGGCUCGUAGGUGGUUGAUCGCGUCGGAAGUGUAAUCUUGGGGCUUAACCCUGAGCGUGCUUUCGAUACGGGUUGACUUGAGGAAGGUAGGGGAGAAUGGAAUUCCUGGUGGAGCGGUGGAAUGCGCAGAUAUCAGGAGGAACACCAGUGGCGAAGGCGGUUCUCUGGGCCUUUCCUGACGCUGAGGAGCGAAAGCGUGGGGAGCGAACAGGCUUAGAUACCCUGGUAGUCCACGCUGUAAACGGUGGGUACUAGGUGUGGGGUCCAUUCCACGGGUUCCGUGCCGUAGCUAACGCUUUAAGUACCCCGCCUGGGGAGUACGACCGCAAGGCUAAAACUCAAAGGAAUUGACGGGGCCCCGCACAAGCGGCGGAGCAUGCGGAUUAAUUCGAUGCAACGCGUAGAACCUUACCUGGGUUUGACAUGGAUCGGGAGUGCUCAGAGAUGGGUGUGCCUCUUUUGGGGUCGGUUCACAGGUGGUGCAUGGCUGUCGUCAGCUCGUGUCGUGAGAUGUUGGGUUAAGUCCCGCAACGAGCGCAACCCUUGUUCACUGUUGCCAGCACGUUAUGGUGGGGACUCAGUGGAGACCGCCGGGGUCAACUCGGAGGAAGGUGGGGAUGACGUCAAGUCAUCAUGCCCCUUAUGUCCAGGGCUUCACGCAUGCUACAAUGGCUGGUACAGAGAGUGGCGAGCCUGUGAGGGUGAGCGAAUCUCGGAAAGCCGGUCUCAGUUCGGAUUGGGGUCUGCAACUCGACCUCAUGAAGUCGGAGUCGCUAGUAAUCGCAGAUCAGCAACGCUGCGGUGAAUACGUUCCCGGG
This 1342-nucleotide ribosomal RNA is filed under the name uncultured bacterium. RNAcentral's name for it is "16S ribosomal RNA". It matches the Rfam family "Bacterial small subunit ribosomal RNA", at positions 28 to 1378 of the family's 1533-position model. The record is from RNAcentral.